UAGUCAAUGCUCGAAAGAGUGAACUAGCUAACUGAAAUCAAUUAGAAUAAUUGAUAACAUAAGGGAAAAUAAUGAUAUUACCUUAUUAUUAGUGUCGUCCAAAACUGGUGCCAGAAGACUCGGUAAGGCCAGAGACACAAACGUUAAUCGUCUUAAUCAGGCGUAAAGGGUUUGUAGGCGGCUUUAAAAUUUAUAUUAUUGAAUAUAACAAAUAAAUAAAAAAUAAAAGCUAGAAUCAAAUAGAGGAUAUAUUAAAUAAUGCUUAGAGUAGGUCUGAUAUCCUUAGAUACUAAGUAGAAUAUUAAAGGCGAAAGCUUUUUUCCAUUAAUGAUUGACGCUCAGAAACGAAGGUGAGGAAAGGAAAUAGGAUUAGAUACCCAAAUACCCCUCUCUGUCAACGAUGAAUGGUAGUUAUUAAUAUAAAUUAUUAAUGGCAAUGUUAACACGAUAACCAUUCCGCCUUGUGAGUACAACUGCAAAGUUGAAAACAAAAAAAUUAGUCGGUUUCGGAGCAAACGAAGUGAAGCAUGUUAUUUAA
Molecule: ribosomal RNA, 538 nt
Filed under: Russula sp.
Lineage: Eukaryota; Fungi; Basidiomycota; Agaricomycetes; Russulales; Russulaceae
Description: partial small subunit ribosomal RNA
Rfam family: Bacterial small subunit ribosomal RNA
Source: RNAcentral